Molecule: ribosomal RNA, 496 nt
Filed under: uncultured bacterium
Lineage: Bacteria
Description: partial 16S ribosomal RNA
Rfam family: Bacterial small subunit ribosomal RNA
Source: RNAcentral
GAUGAACGCUGGCGGCGUGCCUAAUACAUGCAAGUCGAGCGAACGGACGAGAAGCUUGCUUCUCUGAUGUUAGCGGCGGACGGGUGAGUAACACGUGGAUAACCUACCUAUAAGACUGGGAUAACUUCGGGAAACCGGAGCUAAUACCGGAUAAUAUUUUGAACCGCAUGGUUCAAAAGUGAAAGACGGUCUUGCUGUCACUUAUAGAUGGAUCCGCGCUGCAUUAGCUAGUUGGUAAGGUAACGGCUUACCAAGGCAACGAUGCAUAGCCGACCUGAGAGGGUGAUCGGCCACACUGGAACUGAGACACGGUCCAGACUCCUACGGGAGGCAGCAGUAGGGAAUCUUCCGCAAUGGGCGAAAGCCUGACGGAGCAGCGCCGCGUGAGUGAUGAAGGUCUUCGGAUCGUAAAACUCUGUUAUUAGGGAAGAACAUAUGUGUAAGUAACUGUGCACAUCUUGACGGUACCUAAUCAGAAAGCCACGGCUAACUACGU